GUCCCGGUAGCUCAGCUGGAUAGAGUAGCGGUUUCCUAAACCGUCGGUCGGGGGUUCGAAUCCCUUCCGGGACGCCA
RNAcentral lists this transfer RNA (77 nucleotides) under Tenericutes bacterium ADurb.Bin140. RNAcentral describes it as "tRNA-Arg". It matches the Rfam family "tRNA". From Rfam's summary of the family: Transfer RNA (tRNA) molecules are approximately 80 nucleotides in length. The record is from RNAcentral. RNAcentral also lists the same sequence under 2 other names. Lineage: Bacteria; Bacillati; Mycoplasmatota.